Molecule: ribosomal RNA, 246 nt
Filed under: uncultured eukaryote
Lineage: Eukaryota
Description: partial 18S ribosomal RNA
Rfam family: Eukaryotic small subunit ribosomal RNA (bases 52-246)
Source: RNAcentral
GUUCUCGGCAUCUUCUUGGUGAACGUUGCUGCACUUGACUGUGUGGAGCGCUACCCAGGACUUUUACUUUGAGGAAAUUACAGUGUUUCAAGCAGGCAUAUGCCUUGAAUACGUUAGCAUGGAAUAAUAAGAUAGGACCUCGGUUCUAUUUUGUUGGUUUCUAGAGCUGAGGUAAUGAUUAAUAGGGAUAGUUGGGGGCAUUCGUAUUUAACUGUCAGAGGUGAAAUUCUUGGAUUUGUUAAAGAC